UGAAUACGAGACGCUAAGGCGUCGAAGUAGUGUAUGUCAUACUUCCAAGAAAAGCUUGCACUGUCAUAGAUAAAAAACGCCUGUACCAUAACCGACACAGGUGGGUAGGUAGAGUAUACUAAGGGGCGCGAGAUAACUCUCUCUAAGGAACUCGGCAAAAUAACUCCGUAACUUCGGGAGAAGGAGUGCCUUAUUCUUAAGGUUGCAAUAACAAGAUCCAAGCAACUGUUUAUCAAAAACACAGGUCUCCGCUAAGUCGUAAGACGAUGUAUGGGGGCUGACGCCUGCCCAGUGCCAGAAGGUUAAAGAAGCUGGUUAGCAUUUGCGAAGCUAGUAACUGAAGCCCUGGUGAACGGCGGCCGUAACAAUAACGGUCCUAAGGUAGCGAAAUUCCUUGUCGGGUAAGUUCCGACCCGCACGAAAGGCGUAAUGAUUUGGAUACUGUCUCGGAGAGGGGCUCGGUGAAAUAGACUUGUCUGUGAAGAUGCGGACUACCUGCACCAGGACAGAAAGACCCUAUGAAGCUUUACUGUAACUUGAAAUUGAAAUUGGACUUUAUUCGCGCAGUAUAGGUGGGAGGCGUUGAUUAUAAUCUUGCGGGAUUAUUGGAGCCAUUAGUGAGAUACCACUCUUGUAAUGUUAGAUUUCUAACUUUGAAUCAUUAUCUGGUCAAAGAACAGCUUCAGGCGGGCAGUUUGACUGGGGCGGUCGCCUCCCAAACGGUAACGGAGGCGUACAAAGGUUUCCUCUGAACGGUUAGAAAUCGUAUCUAGAGUGUAAAGGCAUAAGGAAGCUUGACUGUGAGACCUACAAGUCGAGCAGGGACGAAAGUCGGUCUUAGUGAUCUGACGGUACUGAGUGGAAAGGCCGUCACUCAACGGAUAAAAGUUACUCUAGGAUAACAGGCUGAUCUCCCCCAAGAGUUUCACAUCGACGGGGAGGUUUGGCACCUCGAUGUCGGCUCAUCGCAUCCUGGGGCGGUAGUACGUCCCAAGGGUUGGGCUGUUCGCCCAUGAAAGCGGUACGCGAGCUGGGUUCAGAACGUCGUGAGACAGUUCGGUCCAUAUCCGGUGUAGGCGUUAGAAUAUUGAGAGGAGCCUUCUUUAGUACGAGAGGACCGAGAAGGACAUACCUCUGGUGUACCAGUUAUCGUGCCAACGGUAGACGCUGGGUAGCUAUGUAUGGAGUGGAUAACCGCUGAAAGCAUCUAAGUGGGAAGCCCACCUCAAGAUAAGUAUUCUCA
RNAcentral lists this ribosomal RNA (1243 nucleotides) under metagenome. Its description in RNAcentral is "bacterial LSU rRNA". It matches the Rfam family "Bacterial large subunit ribosomal RNA", at positions 1564 to 2816 of the family's 2925-position model. The record is from RNAcentral.